Molecule: non-coding RNA, 113 nt
Filed under: Dinophysis acuminata
Lineage: Eukaryota; Dinophyceae; Dinophysales; Dinophysaceae
Source: RNAcentral
GAGGAGCGGCGGCGCGCUGCGGCCGCGAAGACGCGGAUUGAGGCGAAGAUCCAGGCCGCCCAGGCGGCCCAGGCUACAGAGCAGCGAUGAGCUGCGCACUGAGCGGAGGGGGG